GAUGAACGCUAGCGGCAUGCCUUACACAUGCAAGUCGAACGGCAGCACGGGAGCUUGCUCCUGGUGGCGAGUGGCGAACGGGUGAGUAAUAUAUCGGAACGUGCCCAGUCGUGGGGGAUAACGUAGCGAAAGCUACGCUAAUACCGCAUACGAUCUAUGGAUGAAAGCGGGGGAUCGCAAGACCUCGCGCGAUUGGAGCGGCCGAUAUCAGAUUAGGUAGUUGGUGAGGUAAAGGCUCACCAAGCCGACGAUCUGUAGCUGGUCUGAGAGGACGACCAGCCACACUGGGACUGAGACACGGCCCAGACUCCUACGGGAGGCAGCAGUGGGGAAUUUUGGACAAUGGGCGCAAGCCUGAUCCAGCAAUGCCGCGUGCAGGAUGAAGGCC
This 388-nucleotide ribosomal RNA is filed under the name uncultured bacterium. Its description in RNAcentral is "bacterial SSU rRNA". It matches the Rfam family "Bacterial small subunit ribosomal RNA", at positions 28 to 416 of the family's 1533-position model. The record is from RNAcentral.